Molecule: transfer RNA, 65 nt
Filed under: Japonica lutea
Lineage: Eukaryota; Metazoa; Arthropoda; Insecta; Lepidoptera; Lycaenidae
Description: tRNA-Tyr
Source: RNAcentral
AAUAAAAUGGCUGAAUUAUAAGCGAUAAAUUGUAAAUUUAUUUAUGAGAAAUUUCUCUUUUAUUA